AACGAACGCUGGCGGCGUGCCUAACACAUGCAAGUCGAGCGCGAAAAGGGCAACCUGAGUAGAGCGGCGCACGGGUGCGUAACACGUGGGUAAUCUGCCUUGGAGUCGAGGAUAACUUUCCGAAAGGUUAGCUAAUACUCGGUAAGCUUACGAUGACUUCGGUCGUUGUGAGAAAAGUAGGCCUCUAUUUAUAAGCUUACGCUUCGAGAUGAGCCCGCGGCCCAUCAGCUAGUUGGCGGUGUAACGGACCACCAAGGCGACGACGGGUAGCUGGUCUGAGAGGACGAUCAGCCACACUGGAACUGAGACACGGUCCAGACUCCUACGGGAGGCAGCAGUGGGGAAUUUUCCACAAUGGGCGAAAGCCUGAUGGAGCAACGCCGCGUGUGUGAUGAAGGUUUUCGGAUCGUAAAGCACUUUCGACCGGGACGAAAAACCUCUGGCUAACAUCCAGGGGCCUGACAGUACCGGGAGAAUAAGCUCCGGCUAACUCCGUGCCAGCAGCCGCGGUAAUACGGAGGGAGCUAGCGUUGUUCGGAAUUACUGGGCGUAAAGCGCACGUAGGCGGUUAUUCAAGUCAGAGGUGAAAGCCCGGGGCUCAACCCCGGAACUGCCUUUGAAACUAGAUGACUAGAAUCUUGGAGAGGUCAGUGGAAUUCCGAGUGUAGAGGUGAAAUUCGUAGAUAUUCGGAAGAACACCAGUGGCGAAGGCGGCGACCUGGGCCAAUACUGACGCUGGGGUGCGAAAGCGUGGGGAGCAAACAGGAUUAGAUACCCUGGUAGUCCACGCCGUAAACGAUGUCAACUAGCCGUUGGGAGCCUUGAGCUCUUAGUGGCGCAGCUAACGCAUUAAGUUGACCGCCUGGGGAGUACGGCCGCAAGGUUA
RNAcentral lists this ribosomal RNA (886 nucleotides) under uncultured Alphaproteobacteria bacterium. RNAcentral describes it as "bacterial SSU rRNA". It matches the Rfam family "Bacterial small subunit ribosomal RNA", at positions 28 to 896 of the family's 1533-position model. Lineage: Bacteria; Pseudomonadati; Pseudomonadota; Alphaproteobacteria. The record is from RNAcentral.